AAGUUGAUUCUGGCUCAGGAUGAACGCUGGCGGCGUGCCUAACACAUGCAAGUCGAACGGAACUUUAAGGAACAAGACUUCGGUCAAGUGAUAUUAAGUUAGUGGCGGACGGGUGAGUAACGCGUGAGCAACCUGCCUUUCAGAGGGGGAUAACGUCCGGAAACGGACGCUAAUACCGCAUGACAUAGAUUUAUCGCAUGGUGAAUCUAUCAAAGAUUUUAUCGCUGAGAGAUGGGCUCGCGUCCGAUUAGGUAGUUGGUGGGGUAACGGCUCACCAAGCCGACGAUCGGUAGCCGGACUGAGAGGUUGAACGGCCACAUUGGGACUGAGACACGGCCCAGACUCCUACGGGAGGCAGCAGUGGGGAAUAUUGCACAAUGGGCGCAAGCCUGAUGCAGCAACGCCGCGUGAGGGAAGACGGUUUUCGGAUUGUAAACCUCUGUCUUUGGUGACGAAGAAGUGACGGUAGCCAAGGAGGAAGCCACGGCUAACUACGUGCCAGCAGCAGC
Molecule: ribosomal RNA, 509 nt
Filed under: uncultured bacterium
Lineage: Bacteria
Description: bacterial SSU rRNA
Rfam family: Bacterial small subunit ribosomal RNA
Source: RNAcentral